RNAcentral lists this long non-coding RNA (1029 nucleotides) under Anser brachyrhynchus (Pink-footed goose). Its description in RNAcentral is "lncRNA (ENSABRG00000004794.1)". The record is from RNAcentral. Lineage: Eukaryota; Metazoa; Chordata; Aves; Anseriformes; Anatidae.
AUGCGGUACUUGCGCUCGGUGCACCCAGCUGCAACCCGGACUUGCUCCACUUCACUUCAUUCCCCCAGUACCUCUGAACAGCAUGACAGGGCCUUGGGUUUGCUGCUCUUCCUGACCUGUUGUGCAGCUUUCACAGGGUCAAGGGAACACCUGAAGCAGGAGUCCUCCCGUAAGGAUCCUCCAAAAUGCAGGGCAAAGAGGAGCUCACAGGGAGAGGCUACAGUACCUCUGUGUGAUGCAGCCAUGGUACAGCCCUGCUCUCAGGACGACAUCAGGAGAACCUGGUCACCCCCUUCAGCCGCUGCCUCUGCCAAGCUCACUCCCUCAGACGAUGGGAGGAUGACAGAAAUGCCUGCUUUUUGUUGAAAUGUGUAUGCCUAGGCACAAACAACUGAAACACAAAAGCACAGCAGAAAGAAAGUAGGAAACAAAAAAUAUUCUACUGAUGCAACUGGAAAAGUUCAGAUUCGGUUGCACAUACAAACAACUAAGGCACAAAGGAACAGAAAAUCAGGUCCCAGACCAUGUGCUUUCCAGCAGAAAAUCCAGCUUUUUUCCAGAUAUUAACCGAACCUUUUAACAGUGAGCUUGAAAUUAAGAGUGACAAACUGGAGAAGAGCAAGAGCUUUGCAAUCCAUAGGAGGCCUGAUGCAGUGCUCUGUCAGUUCAGGUUUCUGCUGCUCUAACACUGUAACAUUGCCGGACAAAAGUUGUUUCAUGUUCAUAAUUAGGGACCUUUACACCACUUUUGUCACGGUAUAAUGUAAAUGAAGCUCUUGCAGCCCCCCGCACUUGGUUACAACAUUAGUUCAUACCGUCAUGUGUCUCAUGGGAGAUAUACUAGAUUACAGUCACCUGAGGGAGAACAGGACUGGGCCUUCUCCAGAGUCAGUAUAUGACCAUGCUGUGCCCACAAGGAUGCGUUUAUGACUGAGAUUAGCUUCAUUAAAAGAAAAACUCACAGAACGAAAAAUAUGAGGCACCUGAUUUUGAAAUAAAUUACCUUCAUGAAAUUACGGUCUUUUCUUC